ACGUAGGGGGCGAGCGUUGUCCGGAAUUACUGGGCGUAAAGGGUGCGUAGGCGGUUGCUUAAGUUGGAUGUGAAAUACCCGGGCUUAACUUGGGGGGUGCAUUCAAAACUGGGCAACUAGAGUUCAGGAGAGGGAAGCGGAAUUCCUAGUGUAGCGGUGAAAGGAGUAGAUAUUAGGAGGAGCACCAGUGGCGAAGGCAGCAGUCGGGACUGACACUGACGCUGAGGCACGAGAGCGUGGGGAGGAAAGAU
RNAcentral lists this ribosomal RNA (251 nucleotides) under uncultured prokaryote. Its description in RNAcentral is "partial 16S rRNA". It matches the Rfam family "Bacterial small subunit ribosomal RNA", at positions 525 to 775 of the family's 1533-position model. The record is from RNAcentral.